This 430-nucleotide ribosomal RNA is filed under the name uncultured bacterium. Its description in RNAcentral is "bacterial SSU rRNA". It matches the Rfam family "Archaeal small subunit ribosomal RNA", at positions 339 to 776 of the family's 1478-position model. The record is from RNAcentral.
GCGAGAAACCUUUGCAAUGUGCGCAAACACGACAAGGUUAAUCCGAGUGUUUCCUGCUAAAGGAAUCUUUUGUUAGUUCUAAAACCACUGAUGAAUAAGAGGUGGGCAAGUUCUGGUGUCAGCCGCCGCGGUAAAACCAGCACCUCAAGUGGUCAGGAGGAUUAUUGGGCCUAAAGCAUCCGUAGCCGGUUCUGUAAGUUUUCGGUUAAAUCCACUAGCUUAACUAAUGGGCUGCCGAAAAUACUGCAGAACUAGGGAGUGGGAGAGGUAGACGGUACUCGGUAGGAAGGGGUAAAAUCCUUUGAUCUAUUGAUGACCACCUGUGGCGAAGGCGGUCUACCAGAACACGUUCGACGGUGAGGGAUGAAAGCUGGGGGAGCAAACCGGAUUAGAUACCCUUGUAGUCCCUGAGCGGGCUGGCAAGGCGCAU